UCGGCUUGGGAGCAAGCGUUGUUCGGAUUUACUGGGCGUAAAGGGCGCGUAGGCGGCGCAACAAGUCACUUGUGAAAUCUCCGGGCUUAACCCGGAGCGGCCAAGUGAUACUGUCGUGCUAGAGUGCGGAAGGGGCUACUGGAAUUNUCGGUGUAGCGGUGAAAUGCGUAGAUAUCGAGAGGAACACCUGCGGCGAAGGCGGGUAGCUGGNCCGACACUGACGCUGAGGCGCGAAAGCCAGGGGAGCGAACGGGAUUAGAUACCCCGGUAUUCCUGCCCUUAAACGAUGGAUGCUUGGUGUCCGGGGUUACAUAGUACCCCGGGUGCCGGCGCUAACGCAUUAAGCAUCCCGCCUGGGGAGUA
RNAcentral lists this ribosomal RNA (363 nucleotides) under uncultured bacterium #0319-8E7. RNAcentral's name for it is "bacterial SSU rRNA". It matches the Rfam family "Bacterial small subunit ribosomal RNA", at positions 523 to 882 of the family's 1533-position model. The record is from RNAcentral. Lineage: Bacteria; Pseudomonadati; Acidobacteriota.